GGUCAGUGGCGGACGGGUGAGUAACGCGUAGGAACGUAUCCAGGGGUGGGGGACAACGCUGGGAAACUGGCGCUAAUACCGCAUGUGAGCUGAGGCUCAAAGCCGCGAGGCGCCUUUGGAGUGGCCUGCGUCCGAUUAGCUUGUUGGUGGGGUAAAGGCUUACCAAGGCUUCGAUCGGUAGCUGGUCUGAGAGGACGACCAGCCACACUGGGACUGAGACACGGCCCAGACUCCUACGGGAGGCAGCAGUGGGGAAUAUUGGACAAUGGGCGCAAGCCUGAUCCAGCAAUGCCGCGUGGGUGAAGAAGGUCUUCGGAUCGUAAAGCCCUUUCGACGGGGACGAUGAUGACGGUACCCGUAGAAGAAGCCCCGGCUAACUUCGUGCCAGCAGCCGCGGUAAUACGAAGGGGGCUAGCGUUGCUCGGAAUUACUGGGCGUAAAGGGCGCGUAGGCGGUCAUUUUAGUCAGGCGUGAAAUUCCCGGGCUUAACCUGGGGACUGCGUUUGAUA
This 509-nucleotide ribosomal RNA is filed under the name uncultured Roseomonas sp. RNAcentral's name for it is "bacterial SSU rRNA". It matches the Rfam family "Bacterial small subunit ribosomal RNA", at positions 90 to 632 of the family's 1533-position model. Lineage: Bacteria; Pseudomonadati; Pseudomonadota; Alphaproteobacteria; Acetobacterales; Roseomonadaceae. The record is from RNAcentral.